UACGUAGGUGGCAAGCGAUACUCGGAAUCACUAGGCGUAAAGCGCAGGUAGGCGGUUCGGUAAGCCUCUUGUGAAAGCCCCCGGCUCAACUGGGGAGGGUCACGCGAUACUGUUCGACUCGAAGGCAGGAGAGGGAAGCGGAAUUCCCGGUGUAGUGGUGAAAUGCGUAGAUAUCGGGAGGAACACCAGUGGCGAAGGCGGCUUCCUGGCCUGUUCUUGACGCUGAGGAGCGAAAGCUAGGGUAGCAAACGGG
This 253-nucleotide ribosomal RNA is filed under the name uncultured bacterium. RNAcentral's name for it is "partial 16S ribosomal RNA". It matches the Rfam family "Bacterial small subunit ribosomal RNA", at positions 524 to 776 of the family's 1533-position model. The record is from RNAcentral.